UACGUAGGGCGCAAGCGUUAUCCGGAAUUAUUGGGCGUAAAGAGCUCGUAGGCGGUUUGUCGCGUCUGCCGUGAAAGUCCGGGGCUCAACUCCGGAUCUGCGGUGGGUACGGGCAGACUAGAGUGAUGUAGGGGAGACUGGAAUUCCUGGUGUAGCGGUGAAAUGCGCUGAUAUCAGGAGGAACACCGAUGGCGAAGGCAGGUCUCUGGGCAUUAACUGACGCUGAGGAGCGAAAGCAUGGGGAGCGAACAGG
RNAcentral lists this ribosomal RNA (253 nucleotides) under uncultured bacterium. RNAcentral describes it as "partial 16S ribosomal RNA". It matches the Rfam family "Bacterial small subunit ribosomal RNA", at positions 524 to 776 of the family's 1533-position model. The record is from RNAcentral.